Molecule: ribosomal RNA, 253 nt
Filed under: uncultured bacterium
Lineage: Bacteria
Description: partial 16S ribosomal RNA
Rfam family: Bacterial small subunit ribosomal RNA
Source: RNAcentral
UACGGAGGGUGCAAGCGUUAUUCGGAAUUAUUGGGCGUAAAGGGCGUGUAGGCGGCCAGAUAAGUCAGAGGUGAAAGCCCAGGGCUCAACCCCGGAAGUGCCUUUGAAACUAUUUGGCUUGAGUGCGGGAGAGGAAAGCGGAAUUCCCAGUGUAGAGGUGAAAUUCGUAGAUAUUGGGAGGAACACCGGUGGCGAAGGCGGCUUUCUGGACCGACACUGACGCUGAGGCGCGAAAGCGUGGGGAGCAAACAGG